GGGGGAAGUUAUGACAUCAAGUGGUUCCAGUCCCCCCAAAAUGCAGUUACGGGGAUCGAACCGUGGUCAUUCCUACCAAGUUCAGUGUCAAUCACCACUGAACCAACUAACAUUGGGUAAAAGUAAAAUAAAAUUUUAGUACCAUAAAGAUUUGUUGCGCUUCUUAAAAAAAAAUUGUUUUUUGCCGCCAUACUGAAACUUGUUCGCUACUUAAGUAGUGCCCCUGACGAUAAUUUUUUCCAAAAUUUUUGAUUUUAUAACCUCCCUAAAUGUGUAAAUCAGUAAUUAGUAGGGUGAGAAAAGUGUGGAGAGAAAAACGGAGUUCGGCCCAAAAUCAUUCAUUAGAGGGGAUAAACAAGAAACUGAGAUUGGUGAUUUAACUACCUAACUAGGGUGAUUAUCAAAAAAAAAAACUACCUAACUAGGGUUUACGAAUUGGGAUUUCUAUCUUCCGUGUUGCAGCAGCAGCAGAAUGUCGACGGAAUGCGAUUCCUCUUCUUUGUUCGGCGUUAUCCGUCCUCCUCCUCCACCUCCGGAAAACCUUGAAGAAAGAGGGAAGCGCCCAAAAUCGGAACCAGAAGAGAAGCAGAAACCUAAAUGGAAGCCUAGAGAAAAAGCGGCUUGGGAAUUGAAAGCAUUAAAAGAUCUCACGUUAAGUGAUUUCUCCAUGUAUGAUGAAGAUGUUGAGCCAUUUAUGUUUGGUUGUGAUAAAUUUGUGUAUAAGAAUAAGGCAAUGAUUAACCAAGAGAAGGAGAUUAAAGAUGCUAUGGCUGAUCAUGUAAAGCGAUCUCGCAACCUAUCUCCCUUCGAUGCUAUCACCCCUCCAAAAGUAACAACUAAAUUCGGAAUAUGCUGGCCUGCAGUACCGCUUGACAUGACUGAUGAUCUUCGCCUUGAACUCACUCCGCUAUGCAAUGCUGCUUUAGACAAGUUCAAUGCUGAUAAUCAGGAUACAAAUUAUGUUUUUGUUGAUGUUGUCAAGACAACAUGGAGACCUGGUGGUGUCUAUUACAUUACCUUUCAAGCACAAAAUGAUUCUCCCAACUGCCCUGUAGACACUUUCCAGGCAAGGGUAGUAAAAAUGAGGACUGGGCCACAUGCAGUCACGUCGUGUUCCAUUAAAAUCUAGUCGUGUUCCAUUAAAAUCUAGCACACGCCGCACCAUGGAAAUCAUAUCCACUGCAUCCAUCUACUGUGAACAUGGUUUUGGCUGUGUUAGAAACAUGGAGUGAAAUCAAGGCUGGACGACGGUAUUAAUGUAGAUGCUAUAUUUGCUAGAACAUGUUUGGAUUUUAACCACGUGUUUUGUGUCAUACUGUACAUAGAAGCUAAUGUUACUCGCAAACUUUGGAUACCUAUUAAAGUAAUUAUUAAUAUAUUAUUAUGACUCUUCUUCUUUACUUUUUUUUUUUUUUGACAAACUCUUCUUUUUGAACAAAAUGACAAACUGUUCUUCUUUACUUAGUCGAUGGAAACUCCGUCCACAAGUUACCAAUUGCAUUUUCUUUUUACACGUUAUUCUUAUUUUAGUUUUCCUCUGAAAUUUUGCAUUAGAAGCACUUGUCAUCAUCCUGAGUGAUAAAGACAAAUUGGAGUUGAGAUUAAAUGAAGGGAAAAUUACACUCAUUUACAGAUUUAUGUUAGUAUAACAUACCCUUUAUUUUCUGAUGCAUCACAAACCUCCCUUAUUUGUUUGAUGAAUGACUUAUAAGCACCUAUUUGCUAAACGUCUGUUUAUUCGGUCUCAUUCUAUUGUGUAUUAAGCAGCUAUCUCUCGACAAAUUGGCUCGAAGGAAACGCUAGGUAGCUGUAUAUCCUUUUAUGGCUUGAAGCAGUUGGCAUAGUGCGCCAGAAUUAUAGCAAGAUACUGUAUUACUCAACAGAGCAUUGAAACAUAGAAAAAUACUGUAUUACUCAACAGAAUUAUACAUAAGUUUACGAUAUGACUGUUUUAUGAUGGUUGGAGAAACCAACAACAAAUGUCGAAACAUUACCUCAUUGAAUUGAAUAUGAUCACUCAGCCGUUGAGCAUUAACCGAUCAUAUCUCAAUCAAACGAUUUUAAUCAUAUUGACUGCAUACAUACAGUCAUGGAAAUAUACAUGUUUGUAAUAUGUUAAAAGUAAGGGGGUGUAUUGGAUUGAGAUUUUGAAAGACAAUUUUAGCAAAAAAAGUCUUGAAGAUUUUAAAGGAUUUGGUGGGAUUGUAUUGAUUUUAUGAGAUUUUAAAAGAUGACUUUUUAUAAUCAAGAUUCUUAACACAUGAUUUUAAAGAUGCUAUGGCUGAUCAUGUAAAGCGAUCUCGCAACCUAUCUCCCUUCGAUGCUAUCGCCCCUCCAAAAGUAACAACAAAAUUCGGAAUAUGCUGGCCUGCAGUACCGCUUGACAUGACUGAUGAUCGUCGCCUGAGACUCACUCCGCUCUGCCAGGCUGCCUUAGACAAGUUCAAUGCUGAUAAUCAGGAUACAAAUUAUGUUUUUGUUGAUGUUGUCAAGACAACAUGGAGACCUGGUGGUGUCUAUUACAUUACCUUUCAAGCACAAAAUGAUUCUCCCAACUGCCCUGUAGACACUUUCCAGGCAAGGGUAGUAAAAAUGAGGACUGGGCCACAUGCAGUCACGUCGUGUUCCAUUAAAAUCUAGCACACGCUGCACCAUGGAAAUCAUAUCCACUGCAUCCAUCUGCUGUGAACAUAACAUGGUUUUGGUUGUGUUAGAAACAUGGAGUGAAAUCAAGGCUGGACAAAGUAGUUAAUUAAAUGUGACGGUAUUAAUGUAUAUGCUAUAUUUGCUAGAACAUUUUUGGAUUUUAACAGCUUGUUGUGUCAUACUGUGCGGAGAUGCUAAUGUUACUCGCAAUUCGCAAAUCUAUAACAAUAUAUAAAGGGGAUAGGAGAGUUUGAGUCGGCUUUUUCUUUGGUCUA
Trifolium pratense (red clover) is the source of this 2921-nucleotide RNA transcript. RefSeq lists it as uncharacterized. The record is from RefSeq and is a predicted model, not a curated record. Lineage: Eukaryota; Viridiplantae; Streptophyta; Magnoliopsida; Fabales; Fabaceae. The transcript is spliced from 7 exons.